RNAcentral lists this transfer RNA (72 nucleotides) under Camelus bactrianus (Bactrian camel). It matches the Rfam family "tRNA". Rfam says of the family: Transfer RNA (tRNA) molecules are approximately 80 nucleotides in length. Their secondary structure includes four short double-helical elements and three loops (D, anti-codon, and T loops). Further hydrogen bonds mediate the characteristic L-shaped molecular structure. tRNAs have two regions of fundamental functional importance: the anti-codon, which is responsible for specific mRNA codon recognition, and the 3' end, to which the tRNAs corresponding amino acid is attached (by aminoacyl-tRNA synthetases). tRNAs cope with the degeneracy of the genetic code in two manners: having more than one tRNA (with a specific anti-codon) for a particular amino acid; and 'wobble' base-pairing, i.e. permitting non-standard base-pairing at the 3rd anti-codon position. Lineage: Eukaryota; Metazoa; Chordata; Mammalia; Artiodactyla; Camelidae. The record is from Rfam by way of RNAcentral. RNAcentral also lists the same sequence under 2 other names.
UGGUGUAUAGCUCAGUGGUAGAGCAUGUGUUUGGUGUGCAUGAGGUCCUGGGUUCAAUCCCCAGUAUUUCUG